This 467-nucleotide ribosomal RNA is filed under the name Ribautia sp. GG-2003. RNAcentral's name for it is "partial 16S ribosomal RNA". It matches the Rfam family "Bacterial large subunit ribosomal RNA", at positions 1886 to 2600 of the family's 2925-position model. The record is from RNAcentral. Lineage: Eukaryota; Metazoa; Arthropoda; Chilopoda; Geophilomorpha; Chilenophilidae.
GGUUUUUUGUGGUUUUAAAGAAUCGUGCCUGCUCAAUGUUUUUAUAAAUAGCCGCGGUAAUUUGACCGUGCGAAGGUAGCAUAAUCAUUAGCCUUUUAAUUGAGGGCUGGAAUGAAGGGUUUGACAAUUAUUUUUUGUCUUUUAUAUUAUAUUUGAAUUUUGAUUUUAUGUGAAUAUACAUAGAUAUUUUAAGGGGACGAGAAGACCCUAUAAAGCUUGAUAGAUUUUGUUUGUUUUUAUUUCAUUGGGGCGAUGGUGUUAAUUUAAACAGCUUUAUUUUUAUUUUAUUUUAUUUAGGGGAUGAUCCAAUAUUAUUGAUAAUAGGAUAAGCUACUUUAGGGAUAACAGCGUAAUUUAAACAGAGAGUUCUUAUUGAUGUUUUAGUUUGCGACCUCGAUGUUGAAUUAGAGUACCAACUAGCCGCAGGAGGCGGGUGUGGGGGUCUGUUCGACCUUUUAUUCUUUACA